Molecule: small nucleolar RNA, 107 nt
Filed under: Arabidopsis thaliana (thale cress)
Lineage: Eukaryota; Viridiplantae; Streptophyta; Magnoliopsida; Brassicales; Brassicaceae
Description: Plant small nucleolar RNA R71
Rfam family: Plant small nucleolar RNA R71
About the family: R71 is a member of the C/D box family of snoRNAs containing the C (UGAUGA) and D (CUGA) box motifs.
Source: Rfam by way of RNAcentral
AAACCGUGAUGCGGGAAGUCAUGUUGAUAUUCCUUGAAUCUAACCCAUGCUGCUUUGAAAGCCUCAGCUAGAUCUUGGGUGAAGGUAGACAGCUUGUUUCCGAGCUC